GCGCGUCACGCGGGAGAGAACUCCCGAUCUGGAGUCGCCGAAGGCGCAACCCCCGGAACCGCUCAGGCAAAAGGACCGCGUGCAAAGU
RNAcentral lists this non-coding RNA (88 nucleotides) under Thauera aromatica K172. RNAcentral's name for it is "Glycine riboswitch aptamer". It matches the Rfam family "Glycine riboswitch aptamer". Rfam says of the family: This family represents the bacterial glycine riboswitch. Glycine riboswitches usually consist of two metabolite-binding aptamers domains with similar structures in tandem. The record is from Rfam by way of RNAcentral. RNAcentral also lists the same sequence under 1 other name. Lineage: Bacteria; Pseudomonadati; Pseudomonadota; Betaproteobacteria; Rhodocyclales; Zoogloeaceae.